Molecule: small nucleolar RNA, 107 nt
Organism: Gossypium raimondii (Peruvian cotton)
Lineage: Eukaryota; Viridiplantae; Streptophyta; Magnoliopsida; Malvales; Malvaceae
Rfam family: Plant small nucleolar RNA R71
About the family: R71 is a member of the C/D box family of snoRNAs containing the C (UGAUGA) and D (CUGA) box motifs. Multiple nearly identical copies of this snoRNA have been identified in Arabidopsis, and it is thought to function as a 2'-O-ribose methylation guide for 18S ribosomal RNA.
Source: Rfam
AGUCUAUGAUGAGGACACCUUCUCAACAUAUUCUUAAAUCUCUCCCAUGCAUCAUAAAGCUUCUCAAGGUAAAGUUGAAUAAAAGAAGAGAUGUCACUCCUCAACUU